AACGAACGUUGGCGGCGUGGAUUAGGCAUGCAAGUCGAACGAAUCCCCACGGGCUUGCUCGUGGGGGGAAGUGGCGAAAGGGGCAGUAAGGCAUGGGUAACCUACCUCGGGGACGAGGAUAGCCAUCCUAACGGAUGGGUAAUACUUGGCGAUCUGACGAUGAGGCAUCUCGUUGUCAGGAAACGAAUUUCNCCUCGAGAGGGGCUCAUGUAGUAUUAGCUGGUUGGUGGGGUAACGGCCACCAAGGCGAAGAUGCUUAGCGGGUGUGAGAGCACGACCCGCGCCACUGGCACUGAGACACUGGCCAGACUCCUGCGGGAGGCUGCAGUCGAGGAUCUUCGGCAAUGGGCGCAAGCCUGACCGAGCGACGCCGCGUGUGCGAUGAAGGCCU
RNAcentral lists this ribosomal RNA (391 nucleotides) under uncultured bacterium. RNAcentral's name for it is "bacterial SSU rRNA". It matches the Rfam family "Bacterial small subunit ribosomal RNA", at positions 28 to 417 of the family's 1533-position model. The record is from RNAcentral.